UACGUAGGUGGCAAGCGUUGUCCGGAAUUAUUGGGCGUAAAGCGCGCGCAGGCGGUCUCUUAAGUCUGAUGUGAAAGCCCACGGCUCAACCGUGGAGGGUCAUUGGAAACUGGGAGACUUGAGUGCAGAAGAGAAGAGUGGAAUUCCACGUGUAGCGGUGAAAUGCGUAGAGAUGUGGAGGAACACCAGUGGCGAAGGCGACUCUUUGGUCUGUAACUGACGCUGAGGCGCGAAAGCGUGGGGAGCAAAC
RNAcentral lists this ribosomal RNA (250 nucleotides) under uncultured prokaryote. RNAcentral's name for it is "partial 16S ribosomal RNA". It matches the Rfam family "Bacterial small subunit ribosomal RNA", at positions 524 to 773 of the family's 1533-position model. The record is from RNAcentral.